This 19-nucleotide non-coding RNA is filed under the name Rattus norvegicus (Norway rat). The record is from RNAcentral. Lineage: Eukaryota; Metazoa; Chordata; Mammalia; Rodentia; Muridae.
UAGAAUCCCUGAUGGACCG